UCGGGAAUUUUGGGCAAUGGGCGAAAGCCUGACGGAGCGACACCGCGUGCAGGACGAAGGCCCUCGGGUUGUAAACUGCUGUCACGCUCUGGGCUAAUACCCUGGGGUAAUGACGGUACCUGAAGAAUAAGCACCGGCUAACUACGUGCCAGCAGCCGCGGUAAUACGUAGGGUGCAAGCGUUAAUCGGAAUUACUGGGCGUAAAGCGUGCGCAGGCGGUUAUGCAAGACAGAUGUGAAAUCCCCGGGCUCAACCUGGGAACUGCAUUUGUGACUGUAUAGCUAGAGUACGGUAGAGGGGGAUGGAAUUCCGCGUGUAGCAGUGAAAUGCGUAGAUAUGCGGAGGAACACCGAUGGCGAAGGCAAUCCCCUGGACCUGUACUGACGCUCAUGCACGAAAGCGUGGGGAGCAAACAGGAUUAGAUACCCACGUAGUCCCUGAGCGGGCUGGCAAGGCGCAU
RNAcentral lists this ribosomal RNA (460 nucleotides) under uncultured bacterium. RNAcentral describes it as "bacterial SSU rRNA". It matches the Rfam family "Bacterial small subunit ribosomal RNA", at positions 355 to 825 of the family's 1533-position model. The record is from RNAcentral.